AGCCGACAUUGUAUCUGCAGAGAGUAAAGAUUCUAGUUAGACUUUUGUACUUGAUCCUAAUCUGUUCCAAGGUCUUUUAGAACAAAUGUAACUCCCACUAUUUUCUCGAAUCCCUCACACUCCCCUGGUAGGAAAACGGAAAUCCCACACGACUAGGGUUUCUAGUGGGUACUGCGGUCCCACCGAUUUACAUGCCACCUCACCUAACAGUUAUUGGUGACACAUAGAUGAAUGAGUGUACAACUCUUAUACAAUGCUUCUCAAGCAUGGUGCAGUGUAACUUGGUCUCUAAGCCAUGAAGACCUCACCUAACAGUUAUUGGUCCCAUUUCUUAGUUAAGUCAGACCCACCGUAUAACCGUAGGAAUAAAGUCGUCAUUGGGUCCUCACCUAAUAGUUAUUGGUGCCCAACCCCACCUUUACCCUACAACAUCUCAUGUCUAUAGAGAGGUCCAGCCCCCCGAUGCAAUUUGACCACUGUGUCCAGCCGAGAC
RNAcentral lists this long non-coding RNA (493 nucleotides) under Phoenix dactylifera (date palm). RNAcentral's name for it is "long non-coding RNA (PDAC_LNC023102)". Lineage: Eukaryota; Viridiplantae; Streptophyta; Magnoliopsida; Arecales; Arecaceae. The record is from RNAcentral.